This 76-nucleotide microRNA precursor is filed under the name Myotis lucifugus (little brown bat). RNAcentral's name for it is "mir-9229 microRNA precursor family". It matches the Rfam family "mir-9229 microRNA precursor family". The record is from Rfam by way of RNAcentral. Lineage: Eukaryota; Metazoa; Chordata; Mammalia; Chiroptera; Vespertilionidae.
GAGACACCCUUAUGAAGCAGGACUUGCUUCAGUGGGGCUUUGGCACUCACUGAGUCUGCCCCUUGAGUGUGUCACU